This is a non-coding RNA of Miniopterus natalensis, 1618 nucleotides long. The record is from RefSeq and is a predicted model, not a curated record. NCBI's taxonomy places the organism in Eukaryota, Metazoa, Chordata, Mammalia, Chiroptera, Miniopteridae.
UGGGGCAUGACUACUCACCAUGACAUGCCCAGUGAGGAAUUUAUGAUCAGAUCACCUUGUGAGGUAACUUUCUAUAGAACCCCUUUUUUCAUCCACACCUUGUGUGGAUAAACACAUUUUGUUUAUUGCUUCAGUUGAUGGACAUUUAGGUUAUUUCUACCUUUUGGCUAUUCUGAAUAAUACUGCUAUAAACAUUGGAACAAUUUUUGUGUGUGGAGAGUUUUUUUUUAGUUCUCUUGACUGUAUACCUAGGAAGGGAACUGCUGGGUCAUAUGGUAACUAUGUUUAACCAUUUGAGGGACUACCAGACUGUUUUCCAAGGUGGUUGUACCAUCGUACAUUGCCACCAGUAGUGUGAGGGUGUGUACCCCUGUAACUGCCAACUGAAAUAGCAAUUCUCUUGUCUCGGUGGCCAGAGCAAAUCUGCCGUUUCUGGAUGACAGUGCUCUCUAAUGCUGAAUGGCUUCUACCAGAUUUCAGGGUCAACGAUGUAGUUAGAUCUCACCAACUCUCUUACAUGUGUACUUUGUCUGUGUUUUCUUUUUAAGUUAGAGAACUAGAUACACUUUACUUAUAGGUAAUUGUAAUCAAAGAUAGAUAGUGGGUUGUCUUCUCAGUUUCUAGUUGUUUUUUGUUGAGUUAACUGGUAAAAACCCUUAACCCAGUAGUUUGCAACUCUUGGCUACACAUUAUAAUCACCCAAGUCUCUUAAAAGCAAAUUGGGUCCCAGAGAUUCUGAUUUAUUUCAUCUGGGUUGUGGCCUAGGUGAGCCAAAUGUACAUCCUGGGUAGAGAAUCAGUGUAACCAGUAGUGGCCAUGGGAACGGUUCUGGCUGGGUCUUCUGAGGGCUCACACUGCUCACAUCCCAGCCAGCUGGGCAUGGAUAUCUAUUUUAUUGACUCAGAAUUACUGUGACAGUCUUUGUCUUUGCUGGAGCACUCACAAAGGGUGCCAUCUUUAAGCAUGAAACAUUUUUCCUGAUUUCUACAGGUCUUGUUUCCUCUCAGUGUGAUUUGGCAGUACUGGCUCUGGCUGUUUUGCCUCCUGUCAGGCAGGCCCCCUGCAGUUUCUGAAUGGAAUCAGCAUGAUCCAGCCGUUUUAGGGGAUUUCAAGCACCUUAGGCAGGACACUCUUCCUUGUAAAUCAUCAUUGUGUGAAAUGAUGGCUUCGUGUAUGCUUAUUUGGUUAAUACUUGUCUCUAAUGAGUAUCUAACACCUAACAAUGAAGAUUUGUCGAAUGCAUGAGAACUGAGCUUUGGCAGCAUGUAAGCAGCUUCUCGCCAAGAACCCAGGUCACCGCUGAGAAGGGGGCCUUAGGGAGAAGAAUAUCCAGAGGAAACCAAUGCCAGGAGCGUCUGGAAUUACACUCACCGCAGGCAGCAUGAGACAUUCUGUGCCAGCAUCUGUGUCCUCCUGGCAAAGACUGUAGCUGUCCAGGUAGGAGGGUCCUGGAAGCGGCGCGCACCAGGAGCCUCUCUAGAGGAAGAAUGGGGCCAGAUAUGAACUCUCUACAGUGAACAAAAUUUUCAGCUUAUGAAGGAAUUUUAAGUAAAACAGUUAUUUAAUUUCCACAUAUUCAAGUUCCGUAGCCUUCUGUGUGGCGUGCCAGCAGUCACCC